CCCUAGUAACUGCGAGUGAAGCGGGAAAAGCUCAAAUUUAAAAUCUGGUGGUCUUUGGCCAUCCGAGUUGUAAUUUAGAGAAGCGUCUUCCGCGCUGGACCGUGCACAAGUCUCCUGGAAUGGAGCGUCACAGAGGGUGAGAAUCCCGUCUUUGGCACGGACGUACCAGGGCUUUUGUGAUGCGCUCUCGAAGAGUCGAGUUGUUUGGGAAUGCAGCUCAAAAUGGGUGGUGAACUCCAUCUAAAGCUAAAUAUUGGCGAGAGACCGAUAGCGAACAAGUACCGUGAGGGAAAGAUGAAAAGCACUUUGGAAAGAGAGUGAAACAGUACGUGAAAUUGUUGAAAGGGAAACGCUUGAAGUCAGUCGCGUCGACCGAGACUCAGCCUUGCCUUGGCUUGGUGUACUUCUCGGCUGACGGGUCAGCAUCAAUUUUGCCCCUUGGAUAAUGGCGAGGGAAAUGUGACACCUUUACGGUGUGUUAUAGUCCCUCGUCGCAUGCAAGGGUCGGGAUUGAGGAACUCAGCACGCGCCUUUGGGUGUCGGGGCUUUGCCCACGAUACGUGCUUAGGAUGUUGGCGUAAUGGCUUUAAACGACCCGUCUUGAAACACGGACCAAGGAGUCUAACAUGCCUGCGAGUGUUCGGGUGGAAAACCCGUGCGCGCAAUGAAAGUGAAAGUUGGGACCUCUGUCGUGGAGGGCACCGACGCCCGGACCAGACCUUCUGUGACGGCUCUGCGGUAGAGCAUGUAUGUUAGGACCCGAAAGAUGGUGAA
This 774-nucleotide ribosomal RNA is filed under the name Russula messapica var. messapica. Its description in RNAcentral is "partial large subunit ribosomal RNA". It matches the Rfam family "Eukaryotic large subunit ribosomal RNA", at positions 78 to 830 of the family's 3401-position model. The record is from RNAcentral. Lineage: Eukaryota; Fungi; Basidiomycota; Agaricomycetes; Russulales; Russulaceae.